UCUGGGUAUACAACAGUGGACGAGGACAGAUGGUCUGGGUAUAACAACAGUGGAUGAGGAAGAUGGACUGGGUGUACAACAAUAGGUGAGGAGAGAUGGCCUGGGUACACAGAAGUAUUUAUUAUUCAAUACUAAACAGUGAUGGCACCUGGUGUUAACGAAAGAAUGGCCGUCCCGUCACAAACACAUGCCAAGCCAAGUCAAUUAUUCACCUACAAAAAUGGGGUCUACGCUAUAUAGCGAUGUGCCAGUAUUAUCUCGAGUAUAGACGUUGUGUUGAUAACCAUCUGCGAGACUGAGAUGUUUCUCUGUAAAUCACUGAAAAUAUCAACAUAUUGACAAACGUCAUCAAAUGUGAGAUGACACAAACUAAAGGGGAUUGGAUCAUAAUUAAUUCAAAUUUUCAGCUGGUAUCAUGGGACUUGCGACACACCUGGGAGCCGUUGUACAAAGCGGUCUUAACUCCAAUUGCUUAAUAUAAGGUAGUCUCAUGAUCAGAGCGAAGGUUGUUUGGUACACCAGCAUCCCGGUACUUUCAUUUGUCAUACUGGGAUGUGGUUAUCACGAGCGCAUGAUUGAACCAGAGUUACAGUGAUUGUUUGGGAAGCGUUGGUUUACAUGUAUUGUCGUUGGUUGUCCUCUGUGUACAUGUAUAUUGUAAGGUCUCCAGGCCGACAUAACACGCAACACAGAUGUACAAAUAAGAGACGUUUACUUGACGAAGACAAAGAUGAGACUGAAUACGACUGAGAAACAAUCACACGUCACCGUUGAUGAGUCCACCUGCAGGCGCACGCUAUUGUUGAUGAUGGUUGCGUUUAUACGAUGCUGUCCAAAUACCAGGAACAACCUCACAAUAUGAUAUACAUACUUACUUGUAAACUGCGAUCUUCCUCCGCGCACCUGCUGCCAGCGUGGUGUACGACCCUGCUUGGAUUAGAGGCCCGGAUGGUCCUGGAGACAAAAGAUGCCAAGAUGUUAUGUUUCUAAUAAAAGGAUGCAACACUGAGAUCCCAGUAGUCGGGUUGAGGAUUAAGAUAUGGCAUUGAUUAAUAUGUUAUCCAUCGAUUUUAUAAUUACUCAUUAUGUCUGUAGUGUAUUGACAAUGAAUGUAAAUCAAUGACUAAUGCAUAGCAUGCGAGGAAAUCAAUAAAUCAUAUGGUAAUCCGA
Long non-coding RNA from Haliotis rubra (blacklip abalone), 1170 nucleotides. RefSeq lists it as uncharacterized. Lineage: Eukaryota; Metazoa; Mollusca; Gastropoda; Lepetellida; Haliotidae. The record is from RefSeq and is a predicted model, not a curated record. The transcript has 2 exons.